Molecule: ribosomal RNA, 654 nt
Filed under: Listeria monocytogenes
Lineage: Bacteria; Bacillati; Bacillota; Bacilli; Caryophanales; Listeriaceae
Description: bacterial SSU rRNA
Rfam family: Bacterial small subunit ribosomal RNA
Source: RNAcentral
CCGCAAGGUUGAAACUCAAAGGAAUUGACGGGGGCCCGCACAAGCGGUGGAGCAUGUGGUUUAAUUCGAAGCAACGCGAAGAACCUUACCAGGUCUUGACAUCCUUUGACCACUCUGGAGACAGAGCUUUCCCUUCGGGGACAAAGUGACAGGUGGUGCAUGGUUGUCGUCAGCUCGUGUCGUGAGAUGUUGGGUUAAGUCCCGCAACGAGCGCAACCCUUGAUUUUAGUUGCCAGCAUUUAGUUGGGCACUCUAAAGUGACUGCCGGUGCAAGCCGGAGGAAGGUGGGGAUGACGUCAAAUCAUCAUGCCCCUUAUGACCUGGGCUACACACGUGCUACAAUGGAUAGUACAAAGGGUCGCGAAGCCGCGAGGUGGAGCUAAUCCCAUAAAACUAUUCUCAGUUCGGAUUGUAGGCUGCAACUCGCCUACAUGAAGCCGGAAUCGCUAGUAAUCGUGGAUCAGCAUGCCACGGUGAAUACGUUCCCGGGCCUUGUACACACCGCCCGUCACACCACGAGAGUUUGUAACACCCGAAGUCGGUAGGGUAACCUUUAUGGAGCCAGCCGCCGAAGGUGGGACAGAUAAUUGGGGUGAAGUCGUAACAAGGUAGCCGUAUCGGAAGGUGCGGCUGGAUCACCUCCUUUCUAAGGAA